Molecule: unclassified non-coding RNA, 1227 nt
Filed under: Hevea brasiliensis (rubber tree)
Lineage: Eukaryota; Viridiplantae; Streptophyta; Magnoliopsida; Malpighiales; Euphorbiaceae
Source: RNAcentral
CAGGAAGAAAGAAAAUGCCUCGCGCAUCAAAGAGAAAAGCGGCCCCACUCAAUUCCUCCUCCGUCACAUCAGCUUCUGACUAUCGUGCUGGUAAGGCCAAAUCAAAGGAGAUAGAACGGAUUGAUCGCCUAUUUAAUUUGUAUGCAAAUACCUCAUUAGGCAUGAUUGACCCGGAAGGAAUCGAGUCUUUGUGUUCAGACAUGAAAGUCCGACAUACUGAUGUUAGGAUUCUGAUGCUUGCAUGGAAGAUGAAAGCUCAAAAGCAGGGUUAUUUUACUCAAGAAGAGUGGCGGACAGGGUUGAAGGCUCUUCAAGCUGAUACUCUUAACAAAUUAAAGAAAGCACUACCUGAAUUAGAGAAAGAGGUAUUUAUGCAUGUCUGAAAACUGGAAAAGUUACUGAAAGUCUUCUAUGUUUGAUGCUGACUGCUAGAAACUGGGUGUGUUACUCUUUUUGCACUUUUUAUCCUUGAAAGGUGGGUAUACAAGCAAACUUCGAGGAUUUCUAUUCUUAUGCAUUUCGGUAUUGCCUAGCAGGUGAGCUUAGUAUUGGCAAGGAUGUGCUUUAGUUCAAUGUAUUUGCUUUGUGCCAUUGGGCUAGUAGCUCAAUGGUCAAUCGCCUACUUCAUAAUGCAGGAGAUUAGGGGUUUAAACACUGACAACCCUUUUCCUUCAAGGAAAUUAUGAUGUAUCAAAGAAAAAAAAAAGCAUUUGCUUUGUGUCUUUUAAUCUGUCUUUUCUUUCAUCAUGAUAAUUUCUGUCUUUUUAUCAUUUCAGAAGAGAAGCAAAAAAGUGUAGACAUUGAGACCAUUUGUGAAUUGUUGGAUCUUGUACUUCGUUCCCAAUUCUGUUCCAAGGUUGAUUUAUUAAUUGAGUAUCUAAAGAUCCAAAGUGAUUACAAAGUGAUAAACUGGGACCAAUGGAUGAAUUUUCUUCGUUUUUGCAAGGAGAUUAGCUUUCCAGAUUUUGAGAACUAUGAUGCAAAUCAAGCUUGGCCUUUGAUCCUAGACAAUUUUGUUGACUGGAUGAAAGAAAAGCAUAGGUAGUUUCAACAAUUCUUUGGCCAUUACCGUCCCCUACCUUAAGAGUAAAAUUCUGAUACAGUAAGGUAAUAUUAACUUCGUUUAUGUUAUGUGGGUUUGUAUACUUGUAUUCAGUUGUUUACUUUCUAUUAACCAGAAUUUGAUUGAUCUUUAUGCAGGGAUUUGCCAUAAAACUAAUGAACAGA